GGAUGUGAGUAACUCCCAGACACUUCCCACUAUCUUUCAGUGGGCUCCCACUGACGUUACUGGUAUCCUGUGGUGAGAGAAUAGGACCAAUAUUUUUAGAUGUGGUGCUGGCUGUUCUCUCUGGACUCCUUGCAGCACCGGUGUAUUUUUAGCGGCUCGUUAUACGCAGUGGAGGAGCCUUUGCGUCGUGUUGUGUCACACGCAGCGUGUGAACUUCCUGUCCCUGCUCCUCCACGCCUUUGAUCCUGCCCAUCCAGCCACCACAGCAGCAGAGCUGUCACACCAGCCAUGGCCAUUUCUUCCUUAAUAGGACUUUCCAGGUGGCAACCCCAAUGAAAGGGAGGCGGAAAAACCAGAGCUGUGCACCAGCCAGUGAUGGGAAUGGAAACAUCUCUGUGUUCCUUCCAAAUGUGAUCUCCAGACCAGCCCUGCUUCAUGCUGCUCCUUCAGGCAGCACUACUUUGGAAAGCAUUUCACAGCUCCAACUGUUUUCCCUAUGCUCAGGAGAGAUUCCUGCUCUCAGCUGUGUAAAUGUUUUAACUGAGAUUCAUGCUUGGCUAUUCAGGUCACUGCUUUCUCUUCCGGCCCACACAGGCCAAAAUGCAUCUCUAUAAGCACAAAGUGUCCAAAACCAACACAGUAUUUUUCACUUGAACACACCCAUGGCACGUGGCUCCCUCAGAGUACAGGAUACAAUGCUAAGCAGUAGAUUUCUACAUUUGCCUGAUGUGAACUUAGCAUGAUUUAUAAAAAAAGAGGCAAUAGGCCGGUUGUGUGCCCGAGCAAAUCUGGCUUGGCAGAAACUAUCAUUCCAAGGAAGGGACUCAAGGAAAUCAAACUCUCCCUCUGGUCUUGAGAAAGGACUUAUCUAAUGUAGGAAGUGUUCUCAAAAUAUUUAGUUUGUAUUAAGAAUUACAAUGUAUUUCUUUCUGAAUUCAAGUAACCCUCAAUCUCCUUUGCUGGAAGAAUAAAAUAAAUUUCUUUCUGCU
Long non-coding RNA from Melospiza melodia melodia, 989 nucleotides. RefSeq lists it as uncharacterized. NCBI's taxonomy places the organism in Eukaryota, Metazoa, Chordata, Aves, Passeriformes, Passerellidae. The transcript is spliced from 2 exons. The record is from RefSeq and is a predicted model, not a curated record.